RNAcentral lists this transfer RNA (83 nucleotides) under Mycoplasmopsis anatis. Its description in RNAcentral is "Mycoplasma anatis tRNA-Leu(aag)". It matches the Rfam family "tRNA". From Rfam's summary of the family: Transfer RNA (tRNA) molecules are approximately 80 nucleotides in length. Their secondary structure includes four short double-helical elements and three loops (D, anti-codon, and T loops). The record is from RNAcentral. Lineage: Bacteria; Bacillati; Mycoplasmatota; Mycoplasmoidales; Metamycoplasmataceae.
UGCCGAGUGGUGAAAUUGGCAGACAUGCUAGGUUAAGGAUCUAGUGGAGCGAUCCGUGCAAGUUCAAAUCAUGUCUUGGCACC